GCAAGGAAAAUAGCUGCCCAUGUCAAAGGAAGGUCCGAUGGAAUGCCACAGGGUGGCACUGAUACCUUCUGCUAGAAAAGCAGGUGGUUGAGUGAGCUCUCACCUGCCAAUCCCCAUGGGGAAGUCUGGAAUGGCCAGAGCUGGCCUUGGCUACUGCUCCUCAGCCUACAGGACAAGGAGCCUCUAGGUCUCGCCAUGCCUGGAAUCCUCUGUGGGGUGUGCAAAACAAGUCCCCUGGGACCCUCCGGUGCCGACGGUCGGAUGAGUCCUCCCACCCUUGCAGAGAAUGGGCCCCAACACGGCAGGGCUUGGGCCACCUUCCUCCUUCCUCCUUCUUCAUCCCCUGCCCGGUCCAGAGAGCCAACGCCACCUUCUUCAGCCACAGACAACCUCCGCCAUAGGGAAAUCCUUUUUUCGUGUCGACUUUUAAUUCACUGACUUGUGAAGAGUGGAGAGAGCGACUGAAGGCCCACCACUUGCAAGGCACUGCCCCCUUGUCCUGUGCUUUCCAGGCCACAGGAAGCAGCUCCCUCUUCGGCAUGGAGAAUUUCUGCAUCAUCACCAUGGCCAGAGUCCAGCCCUGGCCUGCGAGGAAGGCCUCGGGCGGUGGAAUGGCCCAGGUGGGGCUGGAAGGGCUUGGAAGUGGUCAUUAAUGGAGGACAGAGCGGUGCUCGUGCAGACGGGGAGUGGAAAGUGCUGAGGCUGCCAAAAUGGAAAGUGCCUGUUAAUAGCACGCGUGACGCCUCAUAGCUCACUCGCUGACACGUGGAACCCUGGGCUUCCUGCAGAACGCAGCCUGCAUGCUAAUGAUGCCAGGAGCGGCUUGCCUGGCCCUGGGGAGCUGCUCUCCGGGCUGCUUGCUUACGUGACACUGCAAAGAUCGAGGCCCAGAACAGUAGGAUGUGGAGAAGAAGGAAUCUAUUUCUACAACCCCUUCUUCCUGCGGUCUGCACAAGAGACCUGGAGUGACGAUGACAGGAGACAGAAAGGAAGGAGCUUAUCACGGGCAUCAAAGCUGCAUCCCAGUGCUGCAAAGAUGCUGCCGGUCCCGUUGCACCACAGAGGGAACUCCUGAACCCGAGGAUCAAACCUUAAGGAGAAAAUCCAGCCAGGAAUUAAAGGAGAUACGGAGGAGGUGUCGUGGCCUUGCUGGCCCAUUGAGGAAAGCUUAUAGGUAACUUCCCAUAAUUCCCUAACAGUGAGAGCAAAAAGUGAUCAAUGGAGUUCCUGUUGUGGCGCAGUGGAAACGAAUCCGACUAGCAACCAUGAGGUUGUGGGUUUGAUCCCUGGCCUCGCUCAGUGGGUGAAGGAUAUGGCAUUGCUGUGAACUACGGUAUAGGUCGCAAACACGGCUCGGAUCCCGCGUGGCUGUCGCUGUGGCGUUAGCUGGACCUCUAGCUGGGAGCCUCCAUAUGUAGCAGGUGCGACC
RNAcentral lists this long non-coding RNA (1429 nucleotides) under Sus scrofa (pig). RNAcentral's name for it is "lncRNA (ENSSSCG00000051355.2)". Lineage: Eukaryota; Metazoa; Chordata; Mammalia; Artiodactyla; Suidae. The record is from RNAcentral.